CCCCAGGUCAGGCGGGACUACCCGCUGAGUUUAAGCAUAUAAAUAAGCGGAGGAGAAGAAACUUACGAGGAUUCCCCUAGUAACGGCGAGCGAACCGGGAGAUGCCCAGCUUGAGAAUCGGGCGGCCGCGCCGUCCGAAUUGUAGUCUGGAUUAGAGUCCUCAGCGACGGACCGAGCCCAACUCCCAUGGAAAGGGGCACCUAGGAGGGUGAGAGCCCCAUUCGGCAUGGACCCGGUCGCCCCAUGAGGCGCCGUCAACGAGAUUGGAUGUUUGGGAAUGCAGCCCAAAUCGGGCGGUAAACUCCGUCCGAGGCUAAAUACAGCGAGAGAUCGAUAGCAAACAAGCACCACGAGGGAAAGAUGAAAAUGACAUUGAAAAGAGAGUCAAAAAGUGCUUGAAAUCUCCGGGAGAGAAGCAGAUGAGGGCCGACGAUGCGCCCUGGCCGUAUGCAGAACGGCUUCGGCUGGUCUACGAAUUGGCUCGGGGCGCGGACUGUUGUUGGCUGCGCCGGCGGCCAAAGCCUGGGGGCCUCGCGCCUCCGGUAGCCAUCGUCGGCGCAGCCGGUCACCGCGCCCCUCGGGGCACUGCGUUGCAACGGCCUGCAGGCUCCCCAUCCAACCUAUCUUGAAACACGGACCACGGAGUCUGACAUGCAUGCGAGUCGACGGGUUUUGAAACCUGGAAUACGCAAGGAAUCUGACAAGUGGCAGGCCCUCGCGGGCCAUACCUCUGGCCGCCCUGAUCUUCUGUGAAGGGUUCGAAUUGGAGCACGCAUGUCGGGACCCGAAAGACGGUGAACUAUGCCUGAGCGGGGCGAAGCCAGAGGAAACUCUGGUGGAGGCUCGAAGCGAUACUGACGUGCAAAUCGUUCGUCUGACUUGGGUAUAGGGGCGAAAGACUAAUCGAACCAUCUAGUAGCUGGUUCCCUCCGAAGUUUCCCUC
This 943-nucleotide ribosomal RNA is filed under the name Oryza punctata. RNAcentral's name for it is "eukaryotic LSU rRNA". It matches the Rfam family "Eukaryotic large subunit ribosomal RNA", at positions 1 to 974 of the family's 3401-position model. The record is from RNAcentral. Lineage: Eukaryota; Viridiplantae; Streptophyta; Magnoliopsida; Poales; Poaceae.